GGAUUGAUGAUGAAAACAAUUCUUUGAAUAUGGUGUAUAACUCAUAAAAAUAGCAAUCAGAGAUCC
Molecule: small nucleolar RNA, 66 nt
Organism: Arvicola amphibius (Eurasian water vole)
Lineage: Eukaryota; Metazoa; Chordata; Mammalia; Rodentia; Cricetidae
Product: small nucleolar RNA SNORD109A
Exons: 1
Source: RefSeq, a predicted model, not a curated record